UUCCCCCCACCCCCGCAGCUCUACAAGGCGCAUGCGCGCAACUUGCACGAGCCAGAGUCUCCCCUCGACCACCCCAGUUCCAGCAGUCUUGGUAGCGCGUGCGCAGAUUCCCAGGCGGCAGCGGCGGCGGUUAGCGCGUCCCUCCCUGCUCCAGUCAGAGGGGGGUGCAGGCGAGGUUCCUCAGUGACCCGCCCCCGGCAGCGGGGGGCGGUGCCUGCUGUCCCCUCCUUUCUUCCUCGGCCUCGCCACCGGCGGCGGGUGUGCAGGGGGCUGAGCUCGGUUUCUUCGCUGGCGGCGGCGCAGCUCAUCGUCUGUCCUCCCCGAGGCGGCAGCAGCCAGCGCUCUCCGAAGAAGGGGCCGGACCCGCCCGUCGGGAGGAGGCUGUGGGCGGCUGCGCUCCGUGCGGGCGGGCGCCCCUGGCUGUUUCCGGAGGAAGGAGAGACGCAACUAUCCCCCUCCCCCCUCAGCGCGAGCGGAGCCCGGAGUCACCGCGGCGCAGAGACAGGCCCGGCGGCCGGCGGCGCGCACACACACAAUGGCGCUCAAACGCAUCAACAAGGAACUUAGUGACUUAGCCCGUGACCCUCCAGCACAGUGUUCUGCAGGUCCAGUUGGAGAUGAUAGUAAGUAGUAUUAAAUUUUAAUGUUAUGUUUUCAUUUUAAUUCAAAAAGUAUAUAGUGUCUAAGUAAUAACACUAACACUGACUUUUUUUCCUUUUUAGUGUUCCAUUGGCAAGCCACAAUUAUGGGACCUGUAAGUAUUCUGACUCCCAUGAAUGUUAAUACUAACUUGAAAUCAUAGUUCUUGUUGAAUAAGAAUUGUCUUCGGAUUUCUCCAGUCUUUUUUUAAUGUAGACAUUCUCAAAAAUGCCAGUUUGAGAACAGAGUGGGGGAAAGUGAGUUUUGAGUUAUGCAGAUUCCUCAUUGUUGGCGUGUCACUUCCAUAACAUGACAUGUAUCUGAAUUCACAUGUCCUGCAUAGCAAUGCAAGGUGUUGUCAUGAAAAGUUUUCUGAAGUGCAAAGUGUUCUGAGUGCUUUAUUAUGCAUUUUUAAAUUUGAAUGUGAUUUGUAUAACGUGACUAGGAAGAAGGUCUAAAGCCCCUUGCCAUUAUUGAGGAUUAAGAGCAUUACAAGUUAGACUUCUUAGUACUUCAGUUAACCAAGUAGCUGAAGCUUCUAGGAAACCACACUGGCCAUUUGAUAUGCUUUAGUAUUUCAAACAAACUUUAUCAAGUUUUUUUAAGACAUGCAUAUUUGGAUUAAAGCUAUUUAAAAAAAUACCCUAAGUAGUCUUCCAGGAAGCUGUGGCUAGUUACCUUAUAACAAAGUUUUCCCUUCUGUAAAAAUAGUACACUGAGGUGCAUGUUUUGUAUUUGGGAUCUGAAAACAGCUUUUUGUAUAAUGAAGAGAAUUAUAUUAAUGUUUAUUUCUCCUCCUAAAGAGAUUUUUUAAAGAUAUUAAGGUUCCAUAUCUAGAACUACUCCAGACUUGCUUAGUUUACAGAUGGAGUGAUAUAAUUGCCAAGUGUGCGUACUCAGCCUGGUAUCUGAACAUUGGAUUAGAUUCUCUCUGUUACGCAUAAUGAGCAAUAAGAUUCUGCAGGCCAAAAUCAGGUCUUGGUUACACCUGUACAACCUCGCUGAAGGCUGAUGGGGUUGCACGUAUGUAACUGAAGGCUUGUUUCAUCUGCAGUCUCACUGUUAAUGAGGUAUGAGAAGGCACUAAGUCAUUUUCAGAUUCCAGGCUCUGUCAGGACUGGCAGUUCAUUCAAAAUUUAAAAAUCUGAGCAAACUGAAUCAAGUGCCAAUAAACAUGGAACCCCUUCAGUGACACUUUUAGGCCAUGUCUAAAUUCCAGCUUCUGUGGUAGCAUAACUAAAGUGUCAUAGUUAUGCUGUUGUAACCCUGGGUUAUAGAUGCAGACUACAGUGACAGAAGGAAUUUUUCUGUCACUGUAGGAACUUCACUUACCUGAGUGACAGCAUCUGGGUCUACAGCAAGGGUUAGGUUGACAUAGCUGUGGGGCUCCAGGGUGUGGAUUUGUCACAUCCCUGAGUGACAUAGCUAUAUUGACCUGAAUUAAGUGUAGAUUAGGCCUUAGUCAUGUUAGAGUAGAACUUAAUUAUCAGAUCAGUGUUAAUGUAGUACUUUGAUCUUACACAUGUCCAAAUGUGGUUUAGAUAUUCUAUCGAUACCAGUUAGUGCAGAGCUUCUUUUGGGUGUCAAACUGAAGAAUCCUUGUAUCUUCAAUUCAAAGUUAAAAUGCUGGAUUUGUUCUUAUAGCUUGUUAUCCCUUUGCAUGCAACAAAGUAUGCACUCCAGAGAGACCAGAAUGUUUGCUUAAUAGCUAUACUAAUACUUUUGGAAGUUUACUUCAAGUAUGGAAUGAGUUCCAUUGUAUGUCAUUGAGUUAUACUUACAUGAUUGACUGCAUGGUCACAGAACUCUCAAAGUAUAGUCGGACUUCAAAUUCAGAAAUUUUCUUUUCUACCUUUUCCUGCUCAUUCAGUGUUUAUCCUCUUUUCUCACUUAAUCUUUAUGCUAUCAGGCAAGAGACUUUUAUUAGUUAUGCCCUUUGGAAUAGCAUGAGCACAUACUUUAGAGCAGAAUUUUAGCUAGAAUUUUAUCCUAGCUUUAGGAUAAUAGCUUAGUGGUCCACUGGUGUAGGCCACAUACCUUAAUGACAGGGUAGUCAUCGAUAGUGCAGAUAGAUGACUUAACAUAUUCCACAUCUGAGAUCCGCUACUGACACAGAAGUCUAAUAGUAAGGAUUGAGUUCUCAUUGUCAGAGACAUAUUAGGAAGCUUUCAUAGUUCUUUUCUACACUUGUUCUAACCAGUUCUGUGACUUCACUUUAACUACUAAGACUUGCUUCCAGCAUGUAUACAGUAAAAGAGUUGAAGUAGUUCUUGAACUUCUCAUUUGCCAAUAUAGCAGUUUUUCAGUGACUGCUGCAUGAUGCACUUAAUCUCUGCCAAGGCUGUCUCAUUGAAGUGUCAACUCUAGCAUGACGAUUUUGCCCCUUGACUUAUCUGUUGGCUUUUAACUACAUUGCUUCAUUUGCAAAUAUUAAAGAAUAUAUAAACUAAAGGAAUAGGAUGUGGCUAGUCUGUAUAUAAACAAGAGAUUGGCCUUAAAGGAUAUAACAUUUUAAAAAAUAGAUCAACAGAAUAAAGCCAUCUUCCAGUAUUCCUAUAGACCAAGUAUGUGAAACCCAUUGUGACAAGGAUCAAACUACCCUUUUUUGCUCAGUCCUGAGGCCAAGAGUAGGGGGGGCUUAAGCAAUAAGAGAGAACUACAAAAUCGCAGAAUGUGCUUCUUUAGCCAGCAAAGUUAAAUAUUGCACUUAAAGACUUUUUAAUGAAGCUUAUACUUUUUCUAAAACUUCCUCUUUUGUAUGUGCUUCUCUUCUUCCUCCCUCUUUCUCCCCCCCCCCCGCCCCCCACACACACAAAUGAUAGGUCACUGGCUCAGUCUCCACCUUUUGAGAGUGUUCUCUGUUGCUGUACUUUGGGUGGUAAUUCCACCACCACUUAAACCUGAGAAUUUCCCCCCCUUGAGGUUAUCAUUAUGAUUGCCUUUUCCCUGAGCAGGGGAAGAAAAUAAAUUUCCAGGAACCUGGUUAUGUGUAACCCAGAGGCAGGGAUCCAGGCAUGUGGUGAGAGAAAGGACUGGAAAGCUAAGCAGUGGUGAUGGUGGGGACAGAAUGUGCAGAAGGCUGGAAAGGACUGCAACUGGCCUACAAAAAACUGCUACAAGGGGAGUAGGGAUCAGUUGCUUGUGGCUAGCCAGGCACUUAGGCCAUGUCUACAUCUAAAAUUUUGCAGCGCUGGUUGUUACAGCUGUAUUAGUACAGCUGUAUAGGGCCAGCGCUGCAGAGUGGCCACACUUACAGCAACCAGCGCUGCAUGUGGUGUUAGAUGUGGCCACACUGCAGCGCUGUUGGGCGGCUUCAAGGGGGG
This 3962-nucleotide long non-coding RNA is filed under the name Gopherus evgoodei (Goodes thornscrub tortoise). RNAcentral describes it as "lncRNA (ENSGEVG00005006218.1)". The record is from RNAcentral. Lineage: Eukaryota; Metazoa; Chordata; Testudines; Testudinidae.